UGAGACCUCUUGAUGGCCGCGACCAGCAAUGGUUGAGGAACUUCCGGGCUCCGCAGAGCACGAUGGCGGAUAACGUCCGCCCAGGGCGACCUGAGAGAUAGCGCAGCAGAGAACAGACCGCCCGUCCCUCGGGACGGGUAAGGGUGAAACGGCGGUGUAAGAGACCACCGGGCCGCUGGCAACAGUCGGCCGCAUGGCAAGCCUCAUCGGGAGCAAGGCCAAGCAGAAGACGCUUGAGGGCUGCUCGCCCAAUGUCUUCGGGUAGGCUGCUAGAGCCUGACGGCGACGUCAGGUCGAGAUGGAUGGCCAUCCGUGGCGCGACGUCCCGGGACGCCGCGCCACGACAGAACCCGGGGUAUAAGAGGUCUCACCCU
This 374-nucleotide RNase P RNA is filed under the name Bifidobacterium choerinum. RNAcentral's name for it is "RNase P RNA component class A". It matches the Rfam family "Bacterial RNase P class A". Rfam says of the family: Ribonuclease P (RNase P) is a ubiquitous endoribonuclease, found in archaea, bacteria and eukarya as well as chloroplasts and mitochondria. Its best characterised activity is the generation of mature 5'-ends of tRNAs by cleaving the 5'-leader elements of precursor-tRNAs. Cellular RNase Ps are ribonucleoproteins. Lineage: Bacteria; Bacillati; Actinomycetota; Actinomycetes; Bifidobacteriales; Bifidobacteriaceae. The record is from RNAcentral.